GAUUAAGCCAUGCAUGUCUAAGUAUAAACGAUUUAAUCGUGAAACCGCGAAUGGCUCAUUAUAACAGCUAUAAUUUACUUGAUCUUGACACAAUCCUACUUGGAUAACUGUGGUAAUUCUAGAGCUAAUACAUGCAUUAAAGCUCUGACCUCACGGGAAGAGUGCAUUUAUUAGAACAAAACCAAGCGGCUUCGGCUGUUUCUGGUUGACUCAUAGUAACUGAGCUGAUCGCAUGGUCUUGCACCGGCGACGUGUCUUUCAAGUAUCUGCCGUAUCAACUUUCGAUGGUAGUGUAUCUGACUACCAUGGUGAUCACGCGUAACGGAGAAUAAGGGUUCGGCUCCGGAGAGUUCGCCUGAGAAAUCGCGAACACAUCUAAGGAAGGCAGCAGGCGCGAAAAUUACCCACUCUCAGCACGAGGAGGUAGUGACGAAAAAUAUCGAGUCCGUUCUCUUAUGAGGCCGGUCAUCGGAAUGGAGUACAAUUUAAACCCUUUAACGAGUAUC
This 506-nucleotide ribosomal RNA is filed under the name Acrobeloides sp. Sourhope farm. RNAcentral's name for it is "SSU rRNA". It matches the Rfam family "Eukaryotic small subunit ribosomal RNA", at positions 42 to 545 of the family's 1831-position model. Lineage: Eukaryota; Metazoa; Nematoda; Chromadorea; Rhabditida; Cephalobidae. The record is from RNAcentral.